This 571-nucleotide ribosomal RNA is filed under the name Gadus morhua (Atlantic cod). RNAcentral describes it as "partial 16S ribosomal RNA". It matches the Rfam family "Bacterial large subunit ribosomal RNA", at positions 1816 to 2597 of the family's 2925-position model. Lineage: Eukaryota; Metazoa; Chordata; Actinopteri; Gadiformes; Gadidae. The record is from RNAcentral.
CGCCUCUUGCUCCAAAAAUAUAAGAGGUCCCGCCUGCCCUGUGACUAUAAGUUUAACGGCCGCGGUAUUUUAACCGUGCGAAGGUAGCGUAAUCACUUGUCUUUUAAAUGAAGACCUGUAUGAAUGGCAUCACGAGGGCUUAGCUGUCUCCCAUCUCCAGUCAAUGAAAUUGACCUCCCCGUGCAGAGGCGGGGAUAAUUACAUAAGACGAGAAGACCCUAUGGAGCUUUAGACCUAAAGUAAGUCACGUUUAACAUGCUGUGAUAACAGUAAAAACUUAGUGAUAUUUACUGAAGUGUCUUUGGUUGGGGCGACCGCGGGGUAAAACACAACCCCCAUGUGGACCGGGGAUAUUAUCCCUAAUACUCAGAGCCUCUACUCCAAGUAACAGAAAUUCUGACUUUUCUGAUCCGGUAUAACCGAUCAACGAACCGAGUUACCCUAGGGAUAACAGCGCAAUCCCCUCUCAGAGCCCAUAUCGACGAGGGGGUUUACGACCUCGAUGUUGGAUCAGGACAUCCUAAUGGUGCAGCCGCUAUUAAGGGUUCGUUUGUUCAACGAUUAAAGUCCU